CAGUCGCCACGGUAAUACGUAGGGUGCGAGCGUUAAUCGGAAUUACUGGGCGUAAAGCGUGCGCAGGCGGUUUUGUAAGACAGGCGUGAAAUCCCCGGGCUCAACCUGGGAAUGGCGCUUGUGACUGCAAAGCUAGAGUGCGGCAGAGGGGGGUGGAAUUCCGCGUGUAGCAGUGAAAUGCGUAGAUAUGCGGAGGAACACCGAUGGCGAAGGCAUCCCCUGGGCCUGCACUGACGCUCAUGCACGAAAGCGUGGGGAGCAAACAGGAUUAGAUACCCCAGUAGUCCCUGUCUCUUAUACA
This 301-nucleotide ribosomal RNA is filed under the name uncultured bacterium. Its description in RNAcentral is "partial 16S ribosomal RNA". It matches the Rfam family "Bacterial small subunit ribosomal RNA", at positions 509 to 808 of the family's 1533-position model. The record is from RNAcentral.